This 461-nucleotide ribosomal RNA is filed under the name uncultured bacterium. Its description in RNAcentral is "bacterial SSU rRNA". It matches the Rfam family "Bacterial small subunit ribosomal RNA", at positions 32 to 480 of the family's 1533-position model. The record is from RNAcentral.
AAUCAACGCUGGCGGCGUGCCUAACACAUGCAAGUCGAACGCGAAAAUUCCUUCGGGGAUGAGUAGAGUGGCGUCCGGGUGAGUAACGCGUGGGUAAUCUGCCUUUGGGUGGGGAAUAACCCAGGGAAACUUGGGCUAAUACCGCAUAAUGCAGCGGCUCGACAUCGAGACAGUUGUUAAAGCAGCAAUGCGCCUGAAGAGGAGCCUGCGUCUGAUUAGCUAGNGGUAAGGUAAUGGCUUACCAAGGCGACGAUCCGUAACCGGCCUGAGAGGGCGGGUCGGUCACACUGACACUGACAUACGGGUCAGACUCCUACGGGAGGCAGCAGUCGGGAAUUUUGGGCAAUGGGCGAAAGCCUGACCCAGCAACGCCGCGUGAAGGAUGAAAUCCCUCGGGAUGUAAACUUCGCAAGAACGGGAAGAAUAAGCGAGAGUUAAUAUCUUUCGUGAUGACGGUACCG